GUAACAAUGAAGGCCGGACAACCAUCAGCGGGGACGAGAGAGCGUCAGGGGAGAAGGGGCCGGUCUCCCUCCAGACACACACUCGGCAGCAGGCAGGGCCACGGACCACAGUGGACCUACCAGCUUCCGGCAGGAACAACAGCAUACCCAAGAGGGUUGCCAGGCAGAGUUAUCUAACUCAGGGUCCAUGUACAAAGGCAGGGGUCAGGUUGAAGGAGACAGCAGCGGCCACAAGUCCCCCUCAAAGCCAGCCAGCAGCAGGAA
RNAcentral lists this long non-coding RNA (264 nucleotides) under Homo sapiens (human). RNAcentral's name for it is "HSALNT0145187". Lineage: Eukaryota; Metazoa; Chordata; Mammalia; Primates; Hominidae. The record is from RNAcentral.